GUGUUCAUUUCAGCAGCACAUAUACCAAAAUUGGAAUGAUGCAGAGAAGAUUAGCAUGGCCCCUGGGCAAGGAUGACACACAAAUUCCUAAAACAAAAGGGAUGUGA
This is a small nuclear RNA of Ailuropoda melanoleuca (giant panda), 107 nucleotides long. The record is from Ensembl. NCBI's taxonomy places the organism in Eukaryota, Metazoa, Chordata, Mammalia, Carnivora, Ursidae.